Molecule: transfer RNA, 71 nt
Filed under: Camelus bactrianus (Bactrian camel)
Lineage: Eukaryota; Metazoa; Chordata; Mammalia; Artiodactyla; Camelidae
Also listed under: 3 other names
Rfam family: tRNA
About the family: Transfer RNA (tRNA) molecules are approximately 80 nucleotides in length. Their secondary structure includes four short double-helical elements and three loops (D, anti-codon, and T loops).
Source: Rfam by way of RNAcentral
GACAGUAUAGCUCAGUGGUAAAGCAUGUGUUUAGCAUGCAAAAGGUCCUGAGUUCAAUCCCAGUACUUCCA